AGGCUCAGUGUCUCCUGCCUCAUGUGGGUGGCCCCUCUGCAGGGUUCUCAGGCACCCAGGGAAGUGGGUGCCACAGCCUCACUGGGGCUGGCUGGGCUUUGCUCUGACAACACAGCAGUGGCUAGGCCCCUGCAGCUCUCCGGGGCUCGGUUUCCCUGUUGGCCGCACUAUGGCGUAGGCCCCGGUGUGGACACCGAUGAGCUGACCCCCCCCACAAAUGCCACUCGGCCGCUCCCCCAGGCUUCAGUGACCCAAGAGCCCUUGUGUGAAGAACCAGCUUAAAGAAUCUUGUCUUCUCAAACUCUCCAGGAAUUCCUGGUGACUGGAAGGGGAGUGACACGGGUUCUCAACCUCUAACAGGUAAGGGAGCUGCCUCCUGGGUGGGCGUGCCCAGUUCCUCAGCGGGCCUAGCGCGGCCCAGCCUCCGAGGAAGCUCCGAGCAGCUGGCUUAGCUCCGAGGUAUUUUUAGCUACAGAUCCAGCCCCUUCCAUCACCACAACAGUCGAGUCCAAAUCAAACGCGCUCCAGGCAGGUGGGACUGGGGUUCUGCCAGCCUCCUGGCCAGCAGGGGUGGGUAGGCAGACUGGGGCCAGUAUCGGCUGUUCUGCCUGGGCCCAGGCCGGGCUGGGAAAGCACACUUGUUCUCAUUUCCGGCCUCCACUUUCGUGCCAGCUUGUGCUGUCAUAAGCAGAGGUUCACAGCCCCAUUUCUUGGAUGGAAAAAGUGGACACUGAGGUCUGAGGCUUUUGAGGACAGUCAGGAGCCCCCCUUUGGGCUCGAGUGACGCACUCACCAGCUUCUGGUCCUCUUCCUCCACCACCUGGAAUGCCUUGGCUACCUCCUGUGGUCCUAGGGAACCUCAGCCCCAGCCCUGCCUCCCCAGCCAGUCACAGCUCCUCCCUGGUCACCCUGGGGACCUCAGGGCCCGGCUGGUGGCUGUGCUCCUGUCCUAUCCCCCAGUCCCAUGGAGCCUGGCAGGCAACUCCUCCAUGAUCUGAACCCCGUUACCUUGACAGCCCUGCCUGGCCUCCCCUCUCAUGGCCCAGCCACCCCAGAACCUGAAGAGGUUUUCUAGCUGCCGUGCAUUUGUCAGGCCGGGUUACCCACCCUACUUUUCCUGCCUGCCCUCCAGUGCUGCCAAGCCCAGUGUGCCAGCCAGCACUCAGCCUUCUGUAAAGGGUUCCCCUCUCCCAACCUGACCUCCUGGAAAGCUGGAGCAUAACUGCCUCUCAAUAAACGUGUUGCGAAAAAGGA
RNA transcript from Macaca mulatta (Rhesus monkey), 1254 nucleotides. RefSeq lists it as uncharacterized. The record is from RefSeq and is a predicted model, not a curated record. NCBI's taxonomy places the organism in Eukaryota, Metazoa, Chordata, Mammalia, Primates, Cercopithecidae.